Molecule: ribosomal RNA, 253 nt
Filed under: uncultured bacterium
Lineage: Bacteria
Description: partial 16S ribosomal RNA
Rfam family: Bacterial small subunit ribosomal RNA
Source: RNAcentral
UACGGGGGGGGCAAGCGUUGUUCGGAAUUACUGGGCGUAAAGGGCUCGUAGGUGGCCAACUAAGUCGGACGUGAAAUCCCUCAGCUUAACUGGGGAACUGCGUCCGAUACUGGAUGGCUUGAGUUUGGGAGAGGGAUGCGGAAUUCCAGGUGUAGCGGUGAAAUGCGUAGAUAUCAGGAGGAACACCUGCGGUGUAGACGGCUUUCUGGACCAUUACUGACACUGAGACACGAAAGCGUGGGUAGCAAACAGG